UGGGCCGCCGUGACCCUGCUGGAGUGCAGGGUGGGACCUCCAGCCCCCCGGGGGGUCUCUGACUCUGCUCUGCCGCGCCUCCGGGUUCAAUUUCGGGAUUUAUGGAAUGAUGUGGAUCCGCCAGAGACCGGGGAAGGCGCUGGAAUGGGUCGCAGGGAUCAGAUAUAGUGGUGGCUACACCGCCGACGCACCAUCGGUCAAGGGCCGGUUCAGGAUCUCCAGGGACAACGGGCAGAGCUCGGUGACGCUGACCAUGAACAGCCUCAAGGACGAGGAUUCCGGCGCCUAUUUCUGCGCCAAAUGUGAUGGUGGUGGUUGUGAUUAUGAAGUUUAUG
Non-coding RNA from Ficedula albicollis (Collared flycatcher), 335 nucleotides. NCBI's taxonomy places the organism in Eukaryota, Metazoa, Chordata, Aves, Passeriformes, Muscicapidae. The record is from the annotation of a RefSeq genome assembly.